Molecule: transfer RNA, 89 nt
Filed under: Oscillospiraceae bacterium
Lineage: Bacteria; Bacillati; Bacillota; Clostridia; Eubacteriales; Oscillospiraceae
Description: tRNA-Leu
Rfam family: tRNA
About the family: Transfer RNA (tRNA) molecules are approximately 80 nucleotides in length. Their secondary structure includes four short double-helical elements and three loops (D, anti-codon, and T loops).
Source: RNAcentral
GCCGGAGUGGCGGAAUUGGCAGACGCCCAGGACUUAAAAUCCUGUGGGAUUAACUUCCCGUACCGGUUCGAUCCCGGUUUCCGGCACCA